Molecule: ribosomal RNA, 520 nt
Filed under: uncultured bacterium
Lineage: Bacteria
Description: bacterial SSU rRNA
Rfam family: Bacterial small subunit ribosomal RNA
Source: RNAcentral
AAAUGCGUAGAUAUCGGGAGGAACACCAAUUGCGAAGGCAGCUGCCUGGACCAAUACUGACACUGAGAUACGAAAGCGUGGGUAGCAAACAGGAUUAGAUACCCUGGUAGUCCACGCCGUAAACGAUGUCUACUAGCUGUUGCCUUGUUACUUUGUAGCAAGGUUGUGGCGUAGCUAACGCGAUAAGUAGACCGCCUGGGGAGUACGGCCGCAAGGUUAAAACUCAAAUGAAUUGACGGGGACCCGCACAAGCGGUGGAGCAUGUGGUUUAAUUCGAUGCAACGCGAAGAACCUUACCUACCUUGACAUCCAUGGAAGAUCUUGUAAUGAGAUUGUGCCUUCGGGAACCAUGUGACAGGUGCUGCAUGGCUGUCGUCAGCUCGUGUUGUGAAAUGUUGGGUUAAGUCCCGCAACGAGCGCAACCCUAAUUGCUAGUUGCCAUCAGGUAAAGCUGGGAACUUUAGCAAAACUGCCGGUGAUAAACCGUGAGGAAGGUUGGGACGACGUCAAGUCCUCAUGG